This 702-nucleotide ribosomal RNA is filed under the name uncultured fungus. RNAcentral describes it as "eukaryotic LSU rRNA". The stretch from base 267 to 421 matches the Rfam family "5.8S ribosomal RNA". The record is from RNAcentral. Lineage: Eukaryota; Fungi.
CUUGGUCAUUUAGAGGAAGUAAAAGUCGUAACAAGGUUUCCGUAGGUGAACCUGCGGAAGGAUCAUUACUGAAUUGUCAAACGGGUUGUUGCUGGCCCUCAUAGGGGGCAUGUGCACGCUCUGUUUACACAUCCACUCACACCUGUGCACCCUCUGUAGUUCUAUGGUCUGGGGGACCCUGUCUUCCUUCUGUGGUUCUACGUCUUUACACACACACUGUAAUAAAGUUUUAUGGAAUGUACAUCGCGUCUAACGCAAUACAAUACAACUUUCAGCAACGGAUCUCUUGGCUCUCGCAUCGAUGAAGAACGCAGCGAAAUGCGAUAAGUAAUGUGAAUUGCAGAAUUCAGUGAAUCAUCGAAUCUUUGAACGCACCUUGCGCCCCUUGGCUAUUCCGAGGGGCAUGCCUGUUUGAGUAUCAUGAACACCUCAACUCUCAUGGUUUGCCAUGAUGAGUUGGACUCUGGGGGUUUUGCUGGCCUGUGGUCGGCUCCUCUCAAAUUAAUCAGCCUCCCAGUGUUUGGUGGCAUCACGGGUGUGAUAAAUAUCUACGCUCGCUGUUGUCUGCCAGGUAACCUUUGGUCACAAAGGUUUGCUGGAGCUCACAGAUGUCUCUCCUCAGCGAGGACAGCUUUUUUAACGUUCGAUCUCAAAUCAGGUAGGACUACCCGCUGAACUUAAGCAUAUCAAAAGCGGAGGAAA